GUGGUAGUUGUGGGUGCUGUGGUAGUUGUGGGUGCUGUGGUAGUUGUGGGUGCUGUGGUAGUUGUGGGUGCUGUGGUAGUUGUGGGUGCUGUGGUAGUUGUGGAUGCUGUGGUAGUUGUGGGUGUGUACGUACUGACAUUUGUGGGUGUGGUUGUGAGUUCAGUAGUUUUUUGGGUGGUAGUUGGAAGUGCAGGUGCAAUCUGUGUGGUCGUGAGGUUUGUUGUCAGAAGAGGGGGGGUUGUUGGUUCCGCUGUGGUUGUGAGGUUUGUUGUUAGAGGAGGAGAGCUUGUUGGUUCCUCUGUGGUUGUGAGGUUUGUUGUCAGAGGAGGGGAGGUUAUUGGUUCCUCUGUGGUUGUGAGGUUUACUGUCAGAGGAGGGGAGGUUGUUGGUUCCUCUGUGGUUGUGAGGUUUACUGUCAGAGGAGGGGAGGUUGUUGGUUCCUCUGUGGUUGUGAGGUUUGUUGUUAGAGGAGGAGAGUUUGUUGGUUCCUCUGUGGUUGUGAGGUUUGUUGUCAGAGGAGGGGAGGUUGUUGGUUCCUCUGUGGUUGUGAGGUUUGUUGUUAGAGGAGGAGAGUUUGUUGGUUCCUCUGUG
This is a long non-coding RNA of Oncorhynchus tshawytscha (Chinook salmon), 591 nucleotides long. Lineage: Eukaryota; Metazoa; Chordata; Actinopteri; Salmoniformes; Salmonidae. The record is from Ensembl.